Long non-coding RNA from Ahaetulla prasina, 1066 nucleotides. RefSeq lists it as uncharacterized. The record is from RefSeq and is a predicted model, not a curated record. The transcript is spliced from 3 exons. Lineage: Eukaryota; Metazoa; Chordata; Lepidosauria; Squamata; Colubridae.
GGACAGAAUUUCAGGAAAUCCUGGCGGUGUAGCGUUGAGCGAAAUUCCUUUAUUUUGGCAAACCCAGCUUAAAGACAAAUCAAGGGAGAGACCAGAGGUAGCCCCAGAUCCAUGAUUUAGGGUGGCUCAACAUGGCAAAGGAAAAGGAUGAAAAAAUGUCUACAGGAUUCACCGAUGCCCCAACGUCAGCUGUUUGAUUGACAGGCUAGAAAACACCCUUCAAAAAAUGAUGGAUGCGAAGCUGGAGAAACUGCACCGGCAGAGUCAAAAGGAGACUUAAUUUGAUUGAAUUGACCAGGUCUUGGACCAGGUUAUCUGAAGGACCAAAUCCUGUACUUUGGUCCAGUAAUUCCGUACCAUCUAGAGCAGGGGUCUCCAACCUUGUCAACUUUAAGACUUGUGGACUUCAACUCCCAGAAUUCCUCAGCCAGCUUUGCAGAGGGAUUGUGAAGUGUUAAUACCACUUUAUAAGUCCUUGGUAAGGCCAAACGUGGAAUACUGCAUCCAGUUUUGGUCGCCACGAUGUAAAAAGAUGUUGAGGCUCUAGAAAGAGUGCAGAGAAGAGCAACAAAGAUGAUUAGGAGACUGGAGGAUGAAACAUGUGAAGAAUGGUUGCAGAAACUGGGUAUGUCUAGUUUAAUAAAAAGGACUAGGGGAGACAUGAUAGCAGUUCUUCCAAUAUCUUUGGGGCUGCCUCAAAGAAGAGGGAGUCAAACUAUUCUCCAAAGCACCUGAGGGUAGAACAAGAAGCAAUGGGUGGAAACUAAUCAAGGAGAGAUGCAAUUUAGAACUAAGGAGAAAUUUCCUGACAGAACAAUUAAUCAGUGGAACGACUUGCCUGCAGAAGUUGUGAAUGCUCCAACACUGGAAUUUUUUAAGAAAAUGUUGGAUAACCAUUUGUCUGAAAUGGUGUAGGGUUUCCUGCCUGGGCAGGGGGUUGGACUAGAAGACCUCCAAGGUCCCUUCCAACUUUGUUAUUAUUAUUAUCAUGAUUUGAUUGCUUAUUUGUACCCUAUGACUAUCAUUAAGUGUUGUUCCUUAGAUUCUUGAUGAAUGUAUCUUUUAU